Sus scrofa (pig) is the source of this 2538-nucleotide non-coding RNA. The record is from RefSeq and is a predicted model, not a curated record. Lineage: Eukaryota; Metazoa; Chordata; Mammalia; Artiodactyla; Suidae.
GUAAAAUAAAAUCACCAUUUGGGGAUGUGCUUUUUUCUCUCACUAGUGUAAGCUCACCAGAACCUGCAAACCAGAGGAAGACGCAGAAGCAAAACCUGCAUCAUUCAGCCUGUUCCCCCAUUUUACAGGGGGAAAAAAAACUGAGUCCAAGGGGAGAGGUGGGAGACUGAAGUUGCACAAGUUAGUGGCAGAGCCAGGCCCACAACUCAUAUCUGAGACACGCAUUACCCUCUCCACCCCCAACCAUUUGCAGGAAGGGGCUGAAUUACACCUGGGUCCCCAGCUCCAAGCUGGCUGAAGAGGAAGGCUUCCAGGCUGAGGCCAGGCAAAUAGGGCAGCUCCUGGAGACCAGCCAGCUAGGAGUUAGGAAAGCUAGAACUCCAAGGGUUUGUGGUUUGUGGUUUGUGGCAGUUUCCCUCAUAAUAGGUUAAGUUGGAACCUCUAGUUGGGUCUUAGAGAAAAAUAAAGGGAACAACAUUGUGGUUUCAGGAUGACAUUCUAGGAACCCUAAGGGGCAAAACACAAAGGAGUCCUAAGGACUGGGAUGGAAAGUGAAACUUCCCAGCUCUUCCUUUGACCUUGGCCAAGGUCGUUCUCUCUGGCCUCAUUUGUCCUGUUCCUUCAGUGGGGGGAGAAUCUCGUUUAAGGCCCAGGGAAUAGAAGAAAGGAGGCAGGUAGACGGGUGGCUCUCAGCCUGGUGUCGGUGCCCAGGCGGUCGGAGUCCCAGGCAGGCGGGAUCAGCAGGAGAGGGGGGCGCGGAAAGUCGCCACCGGUGCUGCAUCGAGCAGGAGAAGGGCCGCAACUCAGCGCUGCAGUGGGUAGGAGUGACGGGAUGGAGGAGGGAUCCUCUGCCUGGGUUUGUCGCCUCCGGCCAAGGGUCAAGGCGCCCCCUCCUCUUCUCAGACGCGGGCGGCCUCGCCCCUCCCUCUCACAUUCCCAACUCCCAAAGACAACUUGUCGCUCCCUUCAGAAGCCCGGGGCUUCUCUCUGUCCCGCAGACUCUGCUUUCUUCCACUUCUUUUGUCUGUUUCUGCAUUUGACGGCUUCUCUGGGAAGCAAUCCUCAGAUCCUCUACCCUGUGGUCUGUUAUCCGCUUCCCCACCCCACCUCGACCCCGCGCGCCUUCUCUCUCUCUUUCUCACACACCCACACACACCCACACACUCACACACACCCACACACACCCUCUCUUUUCUCUGCUGGCCAUCUCGGCGCCUUUCCUCUGCAGCUCUGGCCUUCUAAAACCUCACCAGGCCCAUUCUGGGAACCGACACGAGGCGAUCCGACGGCGCCCCACGGAGGGGGCAGGUGAGACUGGCAGGAGCCCCGCCCGGGCGGACGCCGAGGAAGGUGGCGCCCGCGCCCAUCCGCCGCCCGGGCCCAGUCCUCGCCCCAAGCUCGCUGGCGCCAGGGGGACGAGGACGCACGAAUCCCUUCGCGCCCCGCGCCGUCGGCCCCGCCGUCCCAGACCCAGACGCGGCGCCCAGAGGCCGCCCAGGGCGGGGGCGGCGACCGGCAGCAGCUUAACCCCUGGCCCCGGCGCCGUCACCUCCGUCCCUAGGCUCUGUCGCGCCCAAGCCCCGGGUUCCUGCAGCCUAGGAAGACGCGCGGAGGACGGCGCGGUCUGGAGAGAGGGCGCCAAAGGCGACGCGCCGGCGGCCAGCUCCGCGCCAAGCCCAGUGCGUCUGCGGGAACCGGCCCCUUCAUGCGGCGCGGGACGCAGAGCCGAGCGAGGAUCUUCUUCAGCGCGGACUCAACGCCAGGGCGCCGCCUAGAGGUCGGCGGCGGCCUCAGUCUCAUUCGUCAGCGGACCGCAGAAGCUUCUUCCCCAGCCGGGGCCAGAAACGGAGAGGGCGAAUCCAGCUCAGGUCUCAGGAACACGGCUUCUGGCAUCUUUGACUUGCCUGAGACAAGCUCUUAAUGAACCCUAGGAAGGGACGCGGGCCUGGAAGGCUCAGAAAUAUUUAUUCUUGUGGCUCUCACGAAAUGGAAGGAGGGUCUCAAUUUCAGUCUCUUUGAGGACCUGUCUUGUACAUCUGUCUACACUGCCUCCUCUCACCACCCAAAUUGUCCAGCCCCUUCCAGUUAUGCUAGAACUCUGCUCUGUCUUCAAGGAGGGAAGGAAGUUGCCCCUAAAUCUUACAGCUUGAUCUGCUACAGUUUCAAUUUCCCGAAUAUUUCGAAAUAAUUUGAAGGACAUCCUUUUGGGAAAGUGUUCAGAAAACUUUUGAGAGGCAAAGGAACAUUGCCUUCAUGGCCUUUACGCACUGUGUGACCAUCAACUGGUGUCUGAGUGACAUUCAGGGACUUGCUUGUUGGCACCAGCGCCCCUAUUGGUAGGUGUCUGUGCUGAGCAUUUGAAAGUUGACUCUGGGGACAAGCAUCCACGGUUUCGGGUGCUGGAGGCCCCAGGCAGAGGGGUUUUGGUUUGUUUUUGUUUGUUUGUUUGUUUUGUUUUGUUUUUUGUUUUUGCCUGGAAUCCAUUGCCUGGGUUCUGAGAAUGGGGUAAGGGGCAGCCACAAAGCCCAUCUGAAAAGU